This 138-nucleotide ribosomal RNA is filed under the name uncultured eukaryote. RNAcentral describes it as "partial 18S ribosomal RNA". It matches the Rfam family "Eukaryotic small subunit ribosomal RNA", at positions 1299 to 1458 of the family's 1831-position model. The record is from RNAcentral.
UGGUGGGGUGCUUUGUCUGGUUAAUUCCGUUAACGAACGAGACCUUAUUCUGCCAAAUAGUUUCCAAAACUUCGGUUUUCGGCUUACUUCUUAGAGGGACUUCGUGUGUUUAUCAUGAGGAGGUUUGUGGCAAUAACA